UACGGAGGGUGCAAGCGUUAAUCGGAAUUACUGGGCGUAAAGCGUGCGCAGGCGGUUUGUUAAGUCUGUUGUGAAAUCCCCGAGCUCAACUUGGGAAUUGCAAUGGAUACUGGCAGGCUGGAGUAUGGUAGAGGAAGGUGGAAUUCCGGGUGUAGCGGUGGAAUGCGUAGAGAUCCGGAAGAACACCGGUGGCGAAGGCGGCUCGCUGGGCAGUGGCUGACGCUGAGGCGCGACAGCGUGGGGAGCAAACAGG
Molecule: ribosomal RNA, 253 nt
Filed under: uncultured bacterium
Lineage: Bacteria
Description: partial 16S ribosomal RNA
Rfam family: Bacterial small subunit ribosomal RNA
Source: RNAcentral